This 253-nucleotide ribosomal RNA is filed under the name uncultured bacterium. RNAcentral describes it as "partial 16S ribosomal RNA". It matches the Rfam family "Bacterial small subunit ribosomal RNA", at positions 524 to 776 of the family's 1533-position model. The record is from RNAcentral.
UACGUAGGUGGCAAGCGUUGUCCGGAUUUACUGGGCGUAAAGAGCGCGCAGGCGGUUGGAUAAGUCGAAUGUGAAAGCCCCCGGCUCAACUGGGGAGGGUCAUUCGAUACUGUCCGACUCGAAGGCAGGAGAGGGAAGCGGAAUUCCCGGUGUAGUGGUGAAAUGCGUAGAUAUCGGGAGGAACACCAGCGGCGAAGGCGGCUUUCUGGCCUGUUCUUGACGCUGAGGCGCGAAAGCCAGGGGAGCAAACGGG